RNAcentral lists this non-coding RNA (26 nucleotides) under Mus musculus (house mouse). Lineage: Eukaryota; Metazoa; Chordata; Mammalia; Rodentia; Muridae. The record is from RNAcentral.
UGACAGAAGCCGUUUAAUCCCAGCAC